UAAAAGGACUUUAAUCAUAUUUUCAAAUACGAACUGCAAUAUAUGUAUGUCAAAUAUAUGAACAUCGAAUUAAGCGCAAGCUUUAAAUGUUUCAGUCGAAUUCGCUGGCUGAUUCACAAUUCGUAUGUGGAUGGGUCACACUUGAGAGUUAGAUACUCUAAAUGGAAAUAGCGCUAUUGCACACAAACUUGCAUAUAUGUAUAUAUGUGAAUCUUUGUCAAAAUGGGUCAAAGGCAUAAAAAUAGAAAAAUACUUAAUGAAUUAUCACUCGGAAACACCCUGAUUAAAUGCAGCUAACUCGAUUUUGAUAGAUAACACAACACUGGCGGGCGAAAAGAUUGGUGGGCUAGAGCAGCUGUGGUCUACAUAAAAAAAAUUUAAAAAGAAUUUAUAAAU
Molecule: long non-coding RNA, 396 nt
Organism: Drosophila hydei
Lineage: Eukaryota; Metazoa; Arthropoda; Insecta; Diptera; Drosophilidae
Exons: 3
Source: RefSeq, a predicted model, not a curated record